RNAcentral lists this ribosomal RNA (389 nucleotides) under uncultured bacterium. RNAcentral describes it as "bacterial SSU rRNA". It matches the Rfam family "Bacterial small subunit ribosomal RNA", at positions 28 to 415 of the family's 1533-position model. The record is from RNAcentral.
GACGAACGUUGGCGGCGUGCCUAAUACAUGCAAGUCAACUGAAAUACCGGUAGCAAUACUGGUAUGGAGGUGGCGCACGGGUGAGUAACACGUAGGUAAUCUGCCUUCAGGUCUGACAUAACCCAUCGAAAGGUGAGCUAAUAUCAGAUGAUGCAGCGGCUUGACAUCAAGACAGUUGUUAAAGCUUCGGCGCCUGAAGAUGAGCCNGCGUCUGAUUAGCUAGUUGGCGGGGUAACGGCCCACCAAGGCUGCGAUCAGUAGCUGGUCUGAGAGGGUGAUCAGUCACACUGGAACUAAGACACGGUCCAGACUCCUACGGGAGCAGCAGUAAGGAAUAUUGCUCAAUGGCCGAAAGGCUGAAGCAGCAACGCCGCGUGAGGGAUGAAGGG